RNAcentral lists this long non-coding RNA (1827 nucleotides) under Pan paniscus (pygmy chimpanzee). Its description in RNAcentral is "lncRNA (ENSPPAG00000044713.1)". The record is from RNAcentral. Lineage: Eukaryota; Metazoa; Chordata; Mammalia; Primates; Hominidae.
AUGUGGAGAAUUUCUUUAGCCAAAGCUCUGGCUUCAUUGAACACUAGAGAAUUCACACUAGAGCUAGGCCUCAUGUGCAUGGUGAAUAUAGGAUGUCCUUUAGCCAGAGCUCCACCCUUAGUUAAUCACAGAGCGUUCGCACUGGAGCAAAGCCCUGUGAAUUUGGUAAAUAUGGGAAAUCACUUCAACAGAAAGCCCUGGACUCAAUCAACACUGGAGAGUGCCUGCUGGAGAAAGGCUUCCAUAUUCACUAUAACAACUCAGGAGGAAAGCCUCUGUGAAUGUAAAGGAGGCAUCGAACUCCAUACAUCUGAACAUCCACAGUGGAGAGGUUCCCCACAAAUUCCAGUUCAAAUAAUGUUCUCCUGGAUAAAGAAGAUUAUAAACAAAAUAGCACUGUGAAACAGAGGAUUCAUCUGAUUAGGUCUGCCAAAUUUAGCAUGCCCUGCUUGCUUUUGGUUACCUGCUUUUUAUCUUUUUCUUUUCUUUUUUUUUUUUCAUGAAGCUGAAAGCCACAGUAAGUGAAGGCUGCACCACUGAACGCUGAAACUUAACCUUCAUUAGCGGCAUAAUAAAUUGAACGUUUAUAAAUCACCAUGGUAAUGGUCACUUCAGUUAUUUUUCAGGAAUGUGGGACAGCUCCUGACCAGUUCAAACUGGUUGACUCUUCAGCUGGGCCUGUGUAAAUGCCGGAGAGCAUUUUGACAUCAGAGGACCAAAAAUUCCACCCUCAGAUCAUAAUACCAUCAUUUUCUGCAAAUGUGUCCUAUGAAAUGCCGUAAAUCCCAACUAUGUUUGCAUAGAUCACUGAUUGCUUCAUUUUUCCCCCACUGACAAUCACCUUUUCCCACAUCUUAGCUGACCCCACUUCUAUAACCUAUAAAUAUCCCUAAGCCUUAACUUCUGGGAGGUGGAGUUGAGACCUGUUCUUCACCUGCUCACUGGCUGCCUCAUGAAUAGUCUUCUCUUUUGCAAAAUCCAUUAUCUCAGUGAUUGACUUGCUGCAGUUGGGCAGAAAGAACCUGGUUGAUGAUCAUUGUAGAAGCUGUAGAUACUCGAUUAUUCACUGUCAUCUGUUGCAUCAGCUAUUCUGUCUCCUCUCUACUUUCAUGUAGACAUAGAUACAGAUAUCUUGUUUGACAUAUUUUAAAGAGCAUUUUUAUUACCCUCCCCAUGAUGUAGAAAUCUCAGUUCAUUGGAAGCCUUCACCUUCAUAAACUCUUCUUCAAAUCUUGUGCAUGUCUUUUCAUCCUUCUACCAAUCUCCAGGUAGUUGGCUCUUUCUUAUUCCCUUCUCAACUCCAGUGUUGCUUCCUUAGAAGCCUCCUUUCACAACUGAUCUCAUGGAAUCCUUCCUUCUCCCCAGUUCAUGUCACUCUACCCCAAUCCUGUCUUAUUAUUUUUGUUUCACUUAUCACUACCUGCAAUAAUUAUUUUUUCUACCUCCUUCAACUAGAAAGUGAGCACCAUGAAGAUAAAAAUAGUACUGUCCCCUUAGGGCCUAUUACUGACCCAGUCACAUACUAGAUAUCAAAUAGAUAUCUGUUGAAUACAGUACUGAUAUUCCAAACAUGAACUGGUACAGCACAGGCAAUAAAUAAUCAGAAGAGACGCCAGAUCUUUCUAGUACUGGGCUAUGUACUUCACAUACAUCUUAAUAUUUAACCGUCAUGAGAACAUUCUAUAAAAACCAUUAUUGCUGUCUUAAGUUUUGUACAACUGAUCUGAAAAAGAUUAAGAAACACCUCUGGUUACAAAUGGUAAGCUGGUAUCCAUGUUUCCUGCUUUAUUUAGGAAGAGCUUUCCUUCCCAUUCUUCAUUCUAAAAC